This 81-nucleotide small RNA is filed under the name Eubacterium sp. 14-2. RNAcentral's name for it is "GA-cis RNA". It matches the Rfam family "GA-cis RNA". The record is from Rfam by way of RNAcentral. Lineage: Bacteria; Bacillati; Bacillota; Clostridia; Eubacteriales; Eubacteriaceae.
AGAAGGAAGCUGCAUCGGCGAAGCCGAAUUAAAAUGCAGCGACUGAUAUGCCGCCGACGAAGGGAGGGGGCAAUACAAAAA